Molecule: unclassified non-coding RNA, 358 nt
Filed under: soil metagenome
Description: partial contains 5.8S ribosomal RNA, internal transcribed spacer 2, and large subunit ribosomal RNA
Rfam family: 5.8S ribosomal RNA (bases 1-120)
Source: RNAcentral
GAUUAAGAACGUAGCGAAAUGCGAUAAGUAAUGUGAAUUGCAGAAUUCAGUGAAUCAUCGAAUCUUUGAACGCACAUUGCGCCCGUCAGUAUUCUGGCGGGCAUGCCUGUUCGAGCGUCAUUACGCCCCUCAAGUCCCCUGUGGACUUGGUGUUGGGGAUCGGCGAGGCUGGUUUUCCAGCACAGCCGUCCCUUAAAUUAAUUGGCGGUCUCGCCGUGGCCCUCCUCUGCGCAGUAGUAAAACACUCGCAACAGGAGCCCGGCGCGGUCCACUGCCGUAAAACCCCCCAACUUUUUAUAGUUGACCUCGAAUCAGGUAGGACUACCCGCUGAACUUAAGCAUAUCAAUAAGCGGAGGA